This 960-nucleotide ribosomal RNA is filed under the name Stagonosporopsis nemophilae. RNAcentral describes it as "partial large subunit ribosomal RNA". It matches the Rfam family "Eukaryotic large subunit ribosomal RNA", at positions 68 to 1048 of the family's 3401-position model. Lineage: Eukaryota; Fungi; Ascomycota; Dothideomycetes; Pleosporales; Didymellaceae. The record is from RNAcentral.
ACAGGGAUUGCCCUAGUAACGGCGAGUGAAGCGGCAACAGCUCAAAUUUGAAAUCUGGCGUCUUCGGCGUCCGAGUUGUAAUUUGCAGAGGGCGCUUUGGCAUUGGCAGCGGUCCAAGUUCCUUGGAACAGGACGUCACAGAGGGUGAGAAUCCCGUACGUGGUCGCUAGCCUUUACCGUGUAAAGCCCCUUCGACGAGUCGAGUUGUUUGGGAAUGCAGCUCUAAAUGGGAGGUAAAUUUCUUCUAAAGCUAAAUACUGGCCAGAGACCGAUAGCGCACAAGUAGAGUGAUCGAAAGAUGAAAAGCACUUUGGAAAGAGAGUUAAAAAGCACGUGAAAUUGUUGAAAGGGAAGCGCUUGCAGCCAGACUUGCCUGUAGUUGCUCAUCCGGGUUUUUACCCGGUGCACUCUUCUAUAGGCAGGCCAGCAUCAGUUUGGGCGGUUGGAUAAAGGUCUCUGUCAUGUACCUCCUUUCGGGGAGAACUUAUAGGGGAGACGACAUGCAACCAGCCUGGACUGAGGUCCGCGCAUCUGCUAGGAUGCUGGCGUAAUGGCUGUAAGCGGCCCGUCUUGAAACACGGACCAAGGAGUCUAACAUCUAUGCGAGUGUUUGGGUGUCAAGCCCGAACGCGUAAUGAAAGUGAACGGAGGUGGGAACCUUUCGGGGUGCACCAUCGACCGAUCCUGAUGUCUUCGGAUGGAUUUGAGUAAGAGCAUAGCUGUUGGGACCCGAAAGAUGGUGAACUAUGCUUGAAUAGGGUGAAGCCAGAGGAAACUCUGGUGGAGGCUCGCAGCGGUUCUGACGUGCAAAUCGAUCGUCAAAUUUGGGCAUAGGGGCGAAAGACUAAUCGAACUAUCUAGUAGCUGGUUCCUGCCGAAGUUUCCCUCAGGAUAGCAGUAACGUUUUCAGUUUUAUGAGGUAAAGCGAAUGAUUAGAGGCCUGGGGGUUGAAACAACCUU